CCUACGGCGGGCAGCAGUGGGGAAUAUUGCGCAAUGGGGGCAACCCUGACGCAGCCAUGCCGCGUGAAUGAAGAAGGCCUUCGGGUUGUAAAGUUCUUUCGGUAGCGAGGAAGGCAUUUAGUUUAAUAGACUAGGUGAUUGACGUUAACUACAGAAGAAGCACCGGCUAACUCCGUGCCAGCAGCCGCGGUAAUACGGAGGGUGCGAGCGUUAAUCGGAAUAACUGGGCGUAAAGGGCACGCAGGCGGUGACUUAAGUGAGGUGUGAAAGCCCCGGGCUUAACCUGGGAAUUGCAUUUCAUACUGGGUCGCUAGAGUACUUUAGGGAGGGGUAGAAUUCCACGUGUAGCGGUGAAAUGCGUAUAGAUGUGGAGGAAUACCGAAGGCUAAGGCAGCCCCUUGGGAAUGUACUGACGCUCAUGUGCGAAAGCGUGGGUAGCAAACAGGAUUAGAUACCCUUGUAGUC
This 465-nucleotide ribosomal RNA is filed under the name uncultured Haemophilus sp. RNAcentral describes it as "bacterial SSU rRNA". It matches the Rfam family "Bacterial small subunit ribosomal RNA", at positions 338 to 795 of the family's 1533-position model. The record is from RNAcentral. Lineage: Bacteria; Pseudomonadati; Pseudomonadota; Gammaproteobacteria; Pasteurellales; Pasteurellaceae.